This 460-nucleotide ribosomal RNA is filed under the name uncultured bacterium. RNAcentral's name for it is "partial 16S ribosomal RNA". It matches the Rfam family "Bacterial small subunit ribosomal RNA", at positions 338 to 795 of the family's 1533-position model. The record is from RNAcentral.
CCUACGGGAGGCAGCAGUGAGGAAUAUUGGUCAAUGGGCGGGAGCCUGAACCAGCCAAGCAGCGUGAGGGAUGAAGGACCUAAGGGUGGUAAACUUCUUUUAUAAAGGAAUAAAGUGGGGCACGUGUGCCUUGUUGUAUGUACUUUAUGAAAAAGGAUCGGCUAACUCCGUGCCAGCAGCCGCGGUAAUACGGAGGAUCCGAGCGUUAUCCGGAUUUGUUGGGUUUAAAGGGAGCGUAGGUGGGUUGUUAAGUCAGUUGUGAAAGCUUGCGGCUCAACCGUAAAAUUGCAUUUGAUACUGGCAGUCUUGAGUGCAGUUGAGGCAGGCGGAAUUCGUGGUGUAGCGGUGAAAUGCUUAGAUAUCACGAAGAACUCCGAUUGCGAAGGCAGCUUACUGGCCUGCCACUGACAUUGAUGCUCGAAAGUGUGGGUAUCAAACAGGAUUAGAUACCCGUGUAGUC